CGUGGGAAUUUUCCUCAAGGUACGGAACAACUCAGGGAAACUUGGGCUAAUACCGUAUGAUGCAGAGAUGCCAAAGAUUUAUCGCCUUGGGAUAAGCCCGCGUCAGAUUAGGUAGUUGGUGGGGUAAUGGCCUACCAAGCCUGUGAUCUGUAGCUGGUCUGAGAGGACGAUCAGCCACAUUGGGACUGAGACACGGCCCAAACUCCUACGGGAGGCAGCAGUGGGGAAUCUUGCGCAAUGGACGAAAGUCUGACGCAGCCAUGCCGCGUGAAUGAUGAAGGUCUUAGGAUUGUAAAGUUCUUUAGCCUGUGACGAUGAUGACGGUAACAGGAGAAUAAGCCCCGGCUAACUUCGUGCCAGCAGCCGCGGUAAUACGAAGGGGGCUAGCGUUGUUCGGAAUUACUGGGCGUAAAGCGCGCGUAGGCGGUUAUGCAAGCCAGAGGUGAAAUGCCUGAGCUCAACUUAGGAAUUGCCUUUGGAACUGCAUGGCUUUGAGGACGAGAGAGGUGAGUGGAAUUCCCAGUGUAGAGGUGAAAUUCGUAGAUAUUGGGAAGAACACCGGUGGCGAAGGCGGCUCACUGGCUCGUUUCUGACGCUGUAGCGCGAAAGCGUGGGGAUCAAACAGGAUUAGAUACCCUGGUAGUCCACGCUGUAAACGAUGAGUGCUAGGCGUUGGCACGCUUGCGUGUCAGUGCCGCAGCUAACGCGUGAAGCACUCC
RNAcentral lists this ribosomal RNA (719 nucleotides) under uncultured Alphaproteobacteria bacterium. Its description in RNAcentral is "bacterial SSU rRNA". It matches the Rfam family "Bacterial small subunit ribosomal RNA", at positions 116 to 870 of the family's 1533-position model. The record is from RNAcentral. Lineage: Bacteria; Pseudomonadati; Pseudomonadota; Alphaproteobacteria.